Molecule: long non-coding RNA, 1846 nt
Filed under: Homo sapiens (human)
Lineage: Eukaryota; Metazoa; Chordata; Mammalia; Primates; Hominidae
Description: non-protein coding lnc-PLEKHA7-8:1
Source: RNAcentral
ACAAAAAUGGUUGCUGUAGCCCUGCCUGAUUUUGUACACGUUUGUCUAAGAAUUGAGUUGGCACUUAAGCUCACUUCUCAAAGUAUAAUAAUAUUGUAUGACCUCAUUUGUCCUUUCACAAAAGCACUUGCAUCAUUUCCUUAAGUCAUCUGCUCCCUGACAUGUUUUCUUCCCUAAUAAACAACUUCUGUCUGUUAUUCCUGCCAAUGAUGUUCUGUUUCUGAUGCCAUAUCCUAUUGAGCGUGCCCCUGUACUAAUAUCAUUGAAAAUAUUGAUAUGCAAACACAUUUCCUUUUCAUCCCCAUUCUAUCUUUCCCUUUGGGGACAGAUUGCUUUCCAAAAGCUCAUGAACAAAUAUUUGGAAUGCUGGUACCUUUGGGGCAGAGGUAAGGGUGGGCGGGGUGGGGGCAGAAAGGUAAUGCUUAAUGCAGAUAACUCUUCUAAUCAGUGUCCAUGGCAAUAUGAACGCUUGAAGAAAACUCAGUGACAUAUCUUGCUCAGUAGUUUCUUAUUCCUGAAGAACCACAAGCAUAAAGUGAGGCCUCAGUGCUGGUGCUCUUGGAGUAUGGGGAAUGUGCAAAUAUUUAACUGUUUUGUAUGCUGCACAUUGCAGGUCUGCUCAUGUGCAUUCUCCCUUUGUCUUCCUUUGUCAUAUGUGUUUUUGCUUUUUUGAAAGUGCAGUCUUUAUUGUACCCUCCUCCAGCUUGUAGCAAAUUAGAAUGCUUAGCAUUUAUGUUCAUUCAUUAUUGUAUUUGCCAUGUAAAAUUUUUAUUACCUUAGACAAGCUUAUAAGCUGUUACUACAUAACUUAUCUUACUGUAACUCUUUUAUUUCCCCCGACGUUGUAAUUUGUUUGUGAUGUAUAUUGUGAAAUUGUAUUCUAUGUUAAUUUAAUCAGCACAAUUCACUGACAUGCUGGACUGACAUGCUGGCUGCUGUUUCAAAGUGUAAAGUUUGUGUAGGGCUGUUGGGACAACUGCAACUCUGUUGUCAAGGUACUGUGCUUUGGUUCCUAUAGCAACACUGGGUGUGGCCCUUGAAUUGCUAAGGGCAUUUAAUACAUCCUGGAGCAAAUUUUAACUGCAGAUUUUCUUUGUAGAAAUUCUAUGUAUAAUGCAGGUACCUACUUGGCCCAUGGCUGGUAACUAUUUGGGCAAUUAGAAAAAAAGAAAAAAACAUAAAAACUAGUGUCUAUUGCUGCUUUGAAUAUGUUUGAAAGUCUGAAAAUGUAAAUAGUUUAUCAAAAAAAAAUCUUGUACAGUCCAGUGUAAAGUUUUUAAAUGACCUUAAGGGUUGCCAUCACAUCUUUCUCACACUCUCCUCUUGAUAAUAAUAAUAAUAAAAAGUUUGCUAAGGAUUAAAGAAAUGGGAAAAAUAAAAAAAAUCUCUUCAAAUUUACAGGAAUGAAUCAUUGUUCUUAGCUUUGUUGCAUACACAAACUUCUUGGAUUUUGUUGUGCAGUAUUGACGUGAGAUAAAGCUCAACAUUGAAUAAUCUUUCAGUGGUACUUUUCAAAGUCUUCCCCUCCUCUGCCUCAUAAUUAAGGGAAAAGACAAAAUUGAAAGACACACUGUCUUUAUCUAUCCUGGUGUAUGUUGGCACCUUAGCUACUUUUUUUUUUUCCUUUUUGCACAAGGUGCUUUCCUGAUAUGUUCAACAUGCCAUCUUUGGGUGAUAAUGUAUAUGCCGUGAUGGGGCUCAGGCCCCUUAGGGGAGUGUCUAUAAGAACUGCCUAUUUAUGCUCAUUUACCUCAAGACUGUCCUCUCUACCCUAAUCUAGUUGUCAUCACUCCAUCUUUUGUACUGCUGUUGACACUUACAAAUUAAAGAUAAAUUUUGUUUUAUG